This 403-nucleotide long non-coding RNA is filed under the name Phasianus colchicus (ring-necked pheasant). RNAcentral describes it as "lncRNA (ENSPCLG00000005078.1)". Lineage: Eukaryota; Metazoa; Chordata; Aves; Galliformes; Phasianidae. The record is from RNAcentral.
GAGCAGCUCUUGCUGGAUGGGAAAUCCCUCAGUGUGAACACAGUUGUUUGACCACUUCACACAACUGGCUCCUUGAAAAUAGAAAAGACUCUGCAUUGAAUAAUGACAGUUCUUUGAAUGGGAUUUUUAAGACUUGAAUACGAAACUGACUGCUCUACUAUGAAGGAAUGCAGCUUCCAAGGGCAACAGACUAUUGAGUCAGCUGGAGAGCAAAGGAACGUUUUCCCUCUGAUAAGCCUUCAAGAAGUGACCCUUCUACAAUUAAUUGAUAACAGCAGGUUGUGUAGUCGUGUGGAUACUUUGCUGGCUCUAAAACAGCAUUUGUGCUCCUUGAGGAAGUAUCAGCUAUUAUUCUGAGUUUGUUUCAAAUUAAAAAUAAAUCCAAGAUUUCUUGAAAGCCCCA